AAUUUUGGACAAUGGGCGCAAGCCUGAUCCAGCCAUGCCGCGUGAGUGAAGAAGGCCUUCGGGUUGUAAAGCUCUUUCGGACGGAAAGAAAUCGCGCAGGCUAAUACCCUGCGCGGAUGACGGUACCGUCAUAAGAAGCACCGGCUAACUACGUUCCUGCAGCCGCGGUAAUACGCAGGGUGCGAGCGUUAAUCGGAAUUACUGGGCGUAAAGCGUGCGGCGGGGGGUGAAUAAAGCCGGCGGUAAAACCCCGGGCUUAAACCGGGAACUUCGGUUGGGAACUGGCAGGUAGAGUACCGCAGAGGGGGGGUGAAAUCCAAGUGUAGCAGGGAAAUGCGUAAAGAUGUGGAGGAACACCGGUGGCGAAAGCAGCCCCCUGGGCCGAUACUGACGCUCAUGCACGAAAGCGUGGGUAGCAAACAGG
Molecule: ribosomal RNA, 424 nt
Filed under: uncultured bacterium
Lineage: Bacteria
Description: partial 16S ribosomal RNA
Rfam family: Bacterial small subunit ribosomal RNA
Source: RNAcentral